UACGUAGGGUGCGAGCGUUGUCCGGAAUUAUUGGGCGUAAAGAGCUCGUAGGCGGUUUGUCGCGUCUGCUGUGAAAACUCGGGGCUUAACUCCGGGCCUGCAGUGGGUACGGGCAGACUAGAGUGCGGUAGGGGAGACUGGAAUUCCUGGUGUAGCGGUGGAAUGCGCAGAUAUCAGGAAGAACACCAACGGCGAAGGCAGCUCGCUGGGACGGUACUGACGCUGAGACGCGAAAGCGUGGGGAGCGAACAGG
Molecule: ribosomal RNA, 253 nt
Filed under: uncultured bacterium
Lineage: Bacteria
Description: partial 16S ribosomal RNA
Rfam family: Bacterial small subunit ribosomal RNA
Source: RNAcentral